Molecule: ribosomal RNA, 388 nt
Filed under: Karayevia chelonica
Lineage: Eukaryota; Bacillariophyta; Bacillariophyceae; Naviculales; Stauroneidaceae
Description: SSU rRNA
Rfam family: Eukaryotic small subunit ribosomal RNA
Source: RNAcentral
AUCGUAGUUGGAUUUGUGGUGCGUGCUUGGGCGGUCGAAACGGUUCUGCCUGUGCCGUGCCAUCCUUGGGUGGAAUCUGUGUGGCAUUAGGUUGUCGCGCAGGGGAUGCCCAUCGUUUACUGUGAAAAAAUUAGAGUGUUCAAAGCAGGCUUAUGCCGUUGAAUAUAUUAGCAUGGAAUAAUAAGAUAGGUCUCUGGUCCUAUUUUGUUGGUUUGCGGGCCAAAGAAAUGAUUAACAGGGACAGUUGGGGGUAUUCGUAUUCCAUUGUCAGAGGUGAAAUUCUUGGAUUUCUGGAAGACGAACUACUGCGAAAGCAUUUACCAAGGAUGUUUUCAUUAAUCAAGAACGAAAGUUAGGGGAUCGAAGAUGAUUAGAUACCAUCGUAGUC